CUUGGUCAUUUAGAGGAAGUAAAAGUCGUAACAAGGUCUCCGUUGGUGAACCAGCGGAGGGAUCAUUACCGAGUUUACAACUCCCAAACCCCUGUGAACAUACCUUACUGUUGCCUCGGCGGAUCAGCCCGCGCCCGGUAAAACGGGACGGCCCGCCAGAGGACCCCUAAACUCUGUUUUUAUUGUAACUUCUGAGUAAAACCAUAAAUAAAUCAAAACUUUCAACAACGGAUCUCUUGGUUCUGGCAUCGAUGAAGAACGCAGCAAAAUGCGAUAAGUAAUGUGAAUUGCAGAAUUCAGUGAAUCAUCGAAUCUUUGAACGCACAUUGCGCCCGCCAGUAUUCUGGCGGGCAUGCCUGUUCGAGCGUCAUUUCAACCCUCAAGCCCUCGGGUUUGGUGUUGGGGAUCGGCGAGCCUUAUGGCAAGCCGGCCCCGAAAUACAGUGGCGGUCUCGCUGCAGCUUCCAUUGCGUAGUAGUAAAACCCUCGCAACUGGUACGCGGCGCGGCCAAGCCGUUAAACCCCCAACUUCUGAAUGUUGACCUCGGAUCAGGUAGGAAUACCCGCUGAACUUAAGCAUAUCAAUAAGCGGAGA
This 594-nucleotide ribosomal RNA is filed under the name uncultured fungus. RNAcentral describes it as "eukaryotic LSU rRNA". The stretch from base 217 to 370 matches the Rfam family "5.8S ribosomal RNA". Lineage: Eukaryota; Fungi. The record is from RNAcentral.